RNAcentral lists this long non-coding RNA (2513 nucleotides) under Salvia miltiorrhiza (redroot sage). Its description in RNAcentral is "long non-coding RNA (SMIL_LNC005840)". Lineage: Eukaryota; Viridiplantae; Streptophyta; Magnoliopsida; Lamiales; Lamiaceae. The record is from RNAcentral.
CCGAUUUGCAUGACGAAUACUUAUGAAUGAGCGCCCAAGUCAUUCAUAAAUCAGUCAUCAAAUUUGUUGAAUGUGUCAUUUUCAAUUUCGGAGCUGAGUACCUUAGAAAACCCACUGAAGAAGAUAUGGCAGCUCUUAUUCACAUCGGAUGUCACAGCCCGGCCUAAGCUAAUAACAAUUAAGCCGGAGAAAAUGUGACUAGGGAAACUAAGUAAGAAAAUGAAAAAUAAAAGAGGUUUCAAUAAAAAUAAUUAUCCUGCUUAAACAAUACCAUAAUAUGGUAAUCAUAAACAAUCACUUUUAAAACUCAUGAGUAGACAACUUACAAUACACAAUGACAAGUUGUCUAACUUUCAAGUGGCAUAAUUCUCAAAGCUAUUGAUUUAAAAUCUGUCAACACAUCAAUAAAGUAGAAUAUACUAAGUGUUGCAGCAUAAUAACUCAUGUGGAUUACAUGUAUGAAGACAUGGAAUCCUGAGCCUGUUUUAUACAUAUACAUCAAAGAAUAUGCUCUGCUCGCUUCCAUCUGCACCACAUCACAGCUUAACCUGCAUAUUUAGAAAACAUAUGCAGGGCUAAGUACUAAAAAACACUCAAUGGUUACAUGCCGAAAUAUCUUAAAACUUGCUCUUAGAGCUAUAUAUUGAACUUGCCAUCUCAAGCAUCACACAUGAGUGUUAUUUAAAUAACUUGUGCAUGCAAAACUGUAAAACUUCUCUAUAAUCAUCAUAUACGUCUGCAGACAAUUAACAUGUAUGUAUCAUAUCUACGCGUCAUAUAACUCUGAGUGUUGAGAAGUAGGCCUCCUUCUCAAACACGAUGACAAGUUAACUCAAAGGUUUACUGUCAACUCUGUGUACACAAAUCCUGACUCGCUCAGGACCCGAAUUCGUUCUUUUAUGUGGAUGGUAUCAUACAAAUCUCAACUAUUGGCAAGUCAAUAAUUUGAAAAUAAAUGCAUACACUCAAACUUUAUAUAAUAAAGUAUGCAUCUUUGUUUCUUAAGUUAGUAAGCCCACCUGAUAUACUUAAUGAAGUAGAAGUCCUUGCUUGUUCACUUUAUGUUGCCACUCGAACCUUCAUUAUAAUGAGGUUCCCGAUGUAAGAUUGGAUAUAUAGACAAGAAAUAACUAGAAAAUAAUUCAUGAUUGAAACUUCUAUCUCUUGAAGCUUUAGGGUUGCAUCCACUAAUCUGAGUAUUCUACUUUUAUGGACUUAAUUAACUAAAAGCAAACAGUAACAUCAUAUCUCUUGUUGAGGAAGCUUAAGAGUAACUAAUCCAUUCCAUAUAGAUUAGUUUAUAGAUUAAUAACUAAAACACCAAUCAUUUAGCAUGAAUCUCUUCAUAACUUGCUCAAGUAAGGAAAUCUCAAAUAUGUAAUCAUAUAUGAAUCCCAACUUUGAAAUAUCAUAUAAAAUCAAGCUAUUCAAAGAAAAAUGCCUGAUUUACCUUUUUAGAAAGCAUUUAAAGUCUAUUUUUAAUGAAAAACUUACAAAAAUACAAUAUCUCAAGUGUAUAAGAAAUUAUCUCACAAAAGGCAGAAUCUGUCACAGAACCUUGCUGCUUGGCACACUACUUUUAAGAAAAUUGUUUGACCUAUCUAGAGGUCUCAAAUUCAGUUGAAAUUUUGCAGAGAUCUAAUACUCAUAACGAAAUUAUCACUGUAAAAAUUUCAAGUCAUUUGGACUAUGGGAACAUUAUCAAAAUCAUCCCGCAAGAUACUGUCCUGUCAAGCCAAAAACUGACAGCAAUGUCCCCUUGCUUCAACUUAACAUACAACUCAUAUAUCUGCCAAAUAAGGUUGUAGGAGCUCAAUUACAUCAUCUUAAUACAUACUAAAAUGGUUUAACAUAAAACUUAACUCAUGUUUAACACACCAACAUAUAAUAACAUGCUUGACGUCCCCCAAUUUCUAUCAUAUAAUCUCAUUUUACAAUCUCAAGAGUACAAUUAUACAAGCUUCAAAUAUAUAUCAUAUAUGGCUAUCUUACAUCAAGAAUUCUCAAAUCCACUUAAACUAACAUAAUCAAUCUCACAAACUAUGUGAUGUAAACUCAUAAUUUGUUCAUAUAUAAAAACACAUAUAUGAACUCAAUUAUUUAAGAACAUAAUCAUAACUCUCAAACUAAAACCUAGGGUUCAAACUAACUUGAGCAAAACUAAAAUCAAGUGAGAAUCAAUACAAUUAACCACCAUAAUCAUGCUUAGGAACAUCAAAAACGUAAUAUAUCUCAAUAUUAAAAUCAUACUUCAACUCUAGUAUGAAAUCCCCAAAUUUUUGAAAAAGAAGAUGAAUAUGGUGGAGAAAUUCUCAAUUUCGAUUGUAAAGGUUGCUUGGUAAUAAAGACUCAUACCUCAAUAUGUGUUCUUGAAUAAAUUCUUGUGUGAUCGAAGUGAUUCUUUAGCUUGAGAGGCAAAAAUGGAGGUUACGAAAAUAAGGGGGAAGAGACACGGUACUUUGGGGUAGAAAUAAAGAAGAACUGGGUUGUCUUGCCAUGUAAGCUUAAUCUCA